Molecule: ribosomal RNA, 468 nt
Filed under: uncultured bacterium
Lineage: Bacteria
Description: partial 16S ribosomal RNA
Rfam family: Bacterial small subunit ribosomal RNA
Source: RNAcentral
GACGAACGCUGGCGGCGUGCUUAACACAUGCAAGUCGAACGGAAAGGCCCUGCUUUUGUGGGGUGCUCGUGUGGCGAACGGGUGAGUAACACGUGAGUAACCUGCCCUUGACUUUGGGAUAACUUCAGGAAACUGGGGCUAAUACCGGAUAUGAGCUCCUGCUGCAUGUUGGGGGUUGGAAAGUUUCGGGGGUUGGGUAUGUACUCGCGGCUUAUCAGCUUGUUGGUGGGGUAGUGGCUUACCCAGGCUUUGACGGGUAGCCGGCCUGAGAGGGUGACAGGCGACACUGGGACUGAGGUAAGGCAGAGGCUGCGAAGGGAGGGAGAAGUGGGGAAGAUUGAACAAUGGACGGAAGCCGGAUGCAGAAACGCCGCGUGUGGGAUGACGGCCUUAGGAUUGUAAACCGAUGUGGCCGGUGACGAAGAGUGAGUGACGGUAAUGGGUAAAGAAGCACCGGCUAACUACGUG